AGAGUUUGAUCCUGGCUCAGGACGAACGCUGGCGGCGUGCCUAAUACAUGCAAGUAGAACGCUGAAGAGAGGGGCUUGCUCUUCUUGGAUGAGUUGCGAACGGGUGAGUAACGCGUAGGUAACCUGCCUUGUAGCGGGGGAUAACUAUUGGAAACGAUAGCUAAUACCGCAUAACAAUGGAUGACACAUGUCAUUUAUUUGAAAGGGGCAAUUGUUCCACUACAAGAUGGACCUGCGUUGUAUUAGCUAGUAGGUGAGGUAAUGGCUCACCUAGGCGACGAUACAUAGCCGACCUGAGAGGGUGAUCGGCCACACUGGGACUGAGACACGGCCCAGACUCCUACGGGAGGCAGCAGUAGGGAAUCUUCGGCAAUGGGGGCAACCCUGACCGAGCAACGCCGCGUGAGUGAAGAAGGUUUUCGGAUCGUAAAGCUCUGUUGUAAGUCAAGAACGGGUGUGAGAGUGGAAAGUUCACACUGUGACGGUAGCUUACCAGAAAGGGACGGCUAACUACGUGCCAGCAGCCGCGGUAAUACGUAGGUCCCGAGCGUUGUCCGGAUUUAUUGGGCGUAAAGCGAGCGCAGGCGGUUUGAUAAGUCUGAAGUUAAAGGCUGUGGCUCAACCAUAGUUCGCUUUGGAAACUGUCAAACUUGAGUGCAGAAGGGGAGAGUGGAAUUCCAUGUGUAGCGGUGAAAUGCGUAGAUAUAUGGAGGAACACCGGUGGCGAAAGCGGCUCUCUGGUCUGUAACUGACGCUGAGGCUCGAAAGCGUGGGGAGCGAACAGGAUUAGAUACCCUGGUAGUCCACGCCGUAAACGAUGAGUGCUAGGUGUUGGAUCCUUUCCGGGAUUCAGUGCCGCAGCUAACGCAUUAAGCACUCCGCCUGGGGAGUACGACCGCAAGGUUGAAACUCAAAGGAAUUGACGGGGGCCCGCACAAGCGGUGGAGCAUGUGGUUUAAUUCGAAGCAACGCGAAGAACCUUACCAGGUCUUGACAUCCCGAUGCUAUUUCUAGAGAUAGAAAGUUACUUCGGUACAUCGGUGACAGGUGGUGCAUGGUUGUCGUCAGCUCGUGUCGUGAGAUGUUGGGUUAAGUCCCGCAACGAGCGCAACCCCUAUUGUUAGUUGCCAUCAUUCAGUUGGGCACUCUAGCGAGACUGCCGGUAAUAAACCGGAGGAAGGUGGGGAUGACGUCAAAUCAUCAUGCCCCUUAUGACCUGGGCUACACACGUGCUACAAUGGUUGGUACAACGAGUUGCGAGUCGGUGACGGCGAGCUAAUCUCUUAAAGCCAAUCUCAGUUCGGAUUGUAGGCUGCAACUCGCCUACAUGAAGUCGGAAUCGCUAGUAAUCGCGGAUCAGCACGCCGCGGUGAAUACGUUCCCGGGCCUUGUACACACCGCCCGUCACACCACGAGAGUUUGUAACACCCGAAGUCGGUGAGGUAACCUUUUGGAGCCAGCCGCCUAAGGUGGGACAGAUGAUUGGGGUGAAGUCGUAACAAGGUA
RNAcentral lists this ribosomal RNA (1506 nucleotides) under metagenome. RNAcentral's name for it is "bacterial SSU rRNA". It matches the Rfam family "Bacterial small subunit ribosomal RNA". The record is from RNAcentral.